UUCUUCGGGGCAGGGUGUAAUUCCCUACCGACGGUUAUAGUCCGUGACCCACGCAAGUGGCUGAUUUGGUGGAAUUCCAAAACCGACAGUGACAGUCUGGAUGGGAGAAGAA
This 112-nucleotide non-coding RNA is filed under the name uncultured Lachnoclostridium sp. RNAcentral's name for it is "FMN riboswitch (RFN element)". It matches the Rfam family "FMN riboswitch aptamer (RFN element)". From Rfam's summary of the family: The RFN element is a highly conserved domain that is found frequently in the 5'-untranslated regions of prokaryotic mRNAs that encode for flavin mononucleotide (FMN) biosynthesis and transport proteins. This element is a metabolite-dependent riboswitch that directly binds FMN in the absence of proteins. In Bacillus subtilis, the riboswitch most likely controls gene expression by causing premature transcription termination within the 5' untranslated region of the ribDEAHT operon and precluding access to the ribosome-binding site of ypaA mRNA. The record is from RNAcentral. Lineage: Bacteria; Bacillati; Bacillota; Clostridia; Lachnospirales; Lachnospiraceae.